UACGAAUGGAGCGAGCGUUGUUCGGAAUCACUGGGCGUAAAGCGUGCGCAGGCGGUUGUGAAAGUCAGAAGUGAAAUCCCAGGGCUCAACCUUGGAAUUGCUUUUGAAACUUCACGACUAGAGUACUGGAGGGGUUGGCGGAAUUUCGAGUGUAGCAGUGAAAUGCGUAGAUAUUCGAAGGAACACCGAUGGCGUAGGCAGCCAACUGGACAGUUACUGACGCUCAUGCACGAAAGUAUGGGGAGCAAAC
This 250-nucleotide ribosomal RNA is filed under the name uncultured bacterium. RNAcentral describes it as "partial 16S ribosomal RNA". It matches the Rfam family "Bacterial small subunit ribosomal RNA", at positions 524 to 773 of the family's 1533-position model. The record is from RNAcentral.